AUUAGGACCUGGAGUGGGGGUGGGGAAAGGAAGGCUGUCAGAGAGGCCAUACCUUCACCCAGUGGACCUUGUGCCCUGCGCCUGGGAGGACAAACAGCCUCUGCUGUGGAGGUAGUCUCAGUCAGGGGUCUUAGGACCCAGGGCCUCUCUCCCCUCUGCCCCAUCCUGGCAGCCCCUACCAUCACCUCCAGCUCCAGGCGCUGCUGGAAAAUUGGUCUUGGCUGUGAAUGUCAAGGGCAACUGAGGGUCUCAGAGAUGGUCCCAACAGGAUCAUCUGGUCCUGACGCCACCCACCCUGCUCCGGGGAAGGCAUGAGGGCAGAGGGCAGUCCUGGAGCUGUGGGUCCCUGAGAAAUGAGAUGCGCAGGCAUGCUGAGCCGGUGUCCAGCACAUGGCCCUCCCGGGUGCGGCAGGUGUCCCCGGGGGGCUAUGGCGGGCCCUCCUGCCCUGCCUCUCCUGGCAUCUCCCCACCCCUCUGUGUUCUC
This 484-nucleotide long non-coding RNA is filed under the name Marmota monax (woodchuck). The record is from RNAcentral. Lineage: Eukaryota; Metazoa; Chordata; Mammalia; Rodentia; Sciuridae.